AUCCACAAUAUGAUGAAUGGUUAAACAAGCCUCAAUCUCCAGAUGAGUAUGAAUGGAGUUUACACCUUGAUCUUACAAUUUGAAAUUCCUCUUACAAUAGUGAAGGUGGAAUGAAUAUGGAGAUGGAAUAACAAAACAAGAAGGAUCCCCCGGUGGUUCUCUCGAUCUCUUCUCUCUGUUCUAGAUGGUGUGGCUGCGGCUAGGUUUAUCCAAUAUGUCCCAUCCGUAUGUGUUUUUCCUCCCAAACAAUGGAAAAUGGGUUUUCUUAUCUCUCGAAGGAUUAACGUUAGAAAUUACCUAGAAAUAAACCUCGUGAAAACCAAUUGAAAACUCCUUGUAAAUAAUCAUAAAUUCUCGAGCCAUCAACUCCCACGAGCUUAAGACUUGCUCUCCCUCAAGCAACAAAGAAAUGUAAUGAACCAAAGGGAGUUUGAUAAUUGAGUUGAAAGAAGUUUACCACCUGUAAUAUAUCCAUUCUCACAAAUCAUGCAACCUUAGUUAAGAAAAUACUUGCAUUUGAAUGGUUGCACAGAACUCACUACCUAGCCACGUAUAAUCACACACCAAUAGUCAUAAUUUCUCAAGUUAAAGCUUCGAUAGUUAACUAAGUGCUAGGAAAGAAAAAACUUGUUCUUCUUUUAAGAAAAUGAUUAUUUUUUUCUUUGAAGUUUCCCUGAAAACAAAUUUAACUAUGGAGUUUUGGAAGAAGAAAACAUAGUACUCAAGCAUUUAAUUAACAUCCAUAAUUACCAACAAGGCAUGACUCUCAAAUACUUCCUAAUAAUUGUUAUUCAUUGGAACUUCAAUCUUUAGUGAUGGGGUUAUGCCAAGGUUGCUAGGUGCAAGAGGGUUUCCAUUUUGGUUUAAUUUUGGGCACUAUAUAUGAAAAGGAUUCUCUCUUUUGAGCUCAGUGGUCAGUGUUCUCAUUUACCACAUACACACCUCUUCGGAGAAGGACGAUCAAGUUCAAUUCAAACCCCAAAUUAGUGAUGGAGUCACAUUUAUGCGUGUUAUCACAACAUAUAGCAACAACUAUAUGAAACCAGUGAGAACUGAAUCUCCAUGAUUUUAGUAGUGUGGGCAUGUUUUCGCAUAACCUCGAUCAGCUCAAAUAUUCAUUCCUCUAAACAACACUAUGAAUAGGUAUCAUCGAGGCAAACAAAUUUAGUGUUAUGGCGUUGAACUACCUAAGUGGUAAUUCCCCUAAAAAAUCCAAGCCCAUUUGUUUAUGUUAGAAAUUUCUUUUAUUUUUAUUAUGGAUCAAAAUCCUGCUUUAAAAGAGGGUUUAACUAAAGAUUCAAAACAGGGAGUUGUGACUAAAUGAUAUUCAACUAUCAUGGGGAACAAAGCUUCAGCGGAGUUGUGACUAAAUGAUAUUCAACUAUCAUGGGGAACAAAGCUUCAGUGGAACGAGCCAAAUAAAACCAUUCAGUUAAUUAAGCUUGCACGAAAAGUGAGUAUGACUAUAUUAUACCUUCUUGCGCUUGUUCUCCGUUUCCUCAAGUCACUUCUCUACUUUGUUCUCUUUAUUUCUAACUUGCUAGCGGUGAUCAAACACUAUGAAAAGACACAUUUGUGACAUUAUGGCCUGAACAAAAAAAUCUAUCAUGGAUGUGACACUUUGAUAAUCCCCAAGUGUAAGGAAUCAUCAUAGAAAUUUCCAAAGAUAGAAGUGGUAAGUAUGGAGUGUCGAACCCACAAGGAGAUAAAGGUAAGAUCAUUAUUCUCUCAAGUCCUAUCUGCCACCAAUACAACUCUACAUACACCAAACAUUUGCUUCUAUGUAGUAACGAGAAACAAAAGCGUGUUGUGGAUAUAGAGAGGAUAGGUUUGCAUGAUAUUGGAGAAAAAAAUAUGAGAAUAUUCACUGCAUAAAUAAAGUUAGAAAAUAUUACAAUAUAUUAUAAAUAGCAAGUGUGGAAUGAUUAUGGUAUGGUGUGCGAAAUCAUCCUAAGCAAUUGAUAACAAGAUCGGUCAUCAUUCUUACAAUUUUAGAUGAGGGAGAGGCAUGAACUAACAUACUUAACGUACUUGGAUCAUGUGAACUUAUGAUUGGAUCUCUAGCAAGCAUAUGCAACUACUAGAAAUCAUUAAGAUAAACCCAACCAUGACAUUAAACAUCAAGUCCCCUUUACUCCCAUACGCAAACAACUCCCUUACUCGGGUGUAAGCUUCUAUCACUCUAGGCAACCACUAUAAAUGAAUCAUGAACAUAUUAAAACACCCUCUAGCAUGAAUCCUUCACGUGUGCGCCUCACGGAAUGCACCUUAGGACAACACCAAAAUAAAACAUACACUCAAACCAAUAAAGAUCAUCCAUCAACCCAAAGGACAACAUAGAUCUACUCAAACAUCAUAAGAUGACAACACAUAAUUGAUUAAUAAUAUGUCGCAUGAGACACCAUGUUCAAGUAGGGCAUUACAGCGGUGUGCGGGAGAGUGGACCGCCAUAGAUAGAUGAGGAAAGGUAAUGAAGACGGUGAUGUUGAUGAAGACAAUCACGACGGUGAUGGUUCCCAUGCCAGCACUCCGGCACCGUCGGAAGACAUGGGGAGAGAGUCUUCCCCCUUAUGCACCCUCCUCCAUGGCCUCUCCCUAAAUGGGGAGAGGUUCUCCCCUCUGGUCCUUGGCUGUCGUGCCUCCCAGAGGGGCGAGAGCCCCUCCGAGAUUGGAUCUAUCUCUCUCCGUUUCUCUCGUGUUUUUGCCACUAUUUUGUCGCCCUUCAUAAUUUCUUAAAUAUCCAAAGAUCCAUAACUCCGAUCGGGCUGAAAUUUUAAGGGGAUUUUUAUCAAAAAAAAUAUCUUCCUUGAGGCGAAAGAAGGGCGACAACCGAAUUAAGGAGUGUACCCAAGGCAUUAGGGCACGACCACCCCCUGAUCGCGCCCUGAUUCCUUGGGAGAGCCUCGGGCAUCGUGUGGCAUUGAUUGUUCUUUCCAAAAUUCACAUAUAUUCCAAAAAAAACCGUAAAUUUUUGUUGUGGUUGGACUCUGUUUAAUUUGGAAUUUCUACGAAACAAAACACACACAAAUAAAUAGAAACUUGCAUUGGGCACUGGAUAAGUAAGCUAGUCCCAAUAAUAAUAUAAAAUAUUCUCAAAAGUAUAUGAAAGUUGUAGAACAUUCGCAUGAAUACUUCAUAAAUUAUUGAUAUGGUGGCGACGUAUCAACAUCCCUAAUCUUAAUUCCUGCUCGUCCUCGAGUAGGUAAAUGAUAAAAUAAAUAAUUUAUGAAGUGUGAAUGCUAGCAUUUUAUAUAAGUUUGAUCAAUGUUACUACCAAUCACUUUUUCUAGCAUCAUAAAACAAAAACUCUUUUUUCAUAGAAAUUCUCAUGAUCAAGUAACAAGUUAUUGGCAGGUUUAAGUAUAGACCAUAAACUUUCUUAAAAAUUAGCAAAUUAUGUUUCUCACUCAUCAAACAAUUACAAAUCUUAUUAUUUUCACGAAGGGUCUAUGUAAGAGCUUUGAUUUAGUAAAUUCCACAUACUCAACUAUCAUUUAGUCUUCCAUGAUUGCUCACACUCAAGGCAUAUUUUAGAACAAGCGGUUUCACUCAAACACAUAGGAAUAUAGUGGCUUAAUGUUCCACCUUCCAACUUAUUUAUCUCAGGGAUAAUGUCAACAAUAAUGAAUCAUGAUCACCUAUAUCCAACUGGAUAUAUGUGCCUGGAUCUUCCCCACCACAUGAUGCUUGCCAACUAAUAAAUUGAGGUUGGUAUAAUAAGUUGAAUCAACAAGAAAAAUAAGUAACAUGAAAGUAAAUAGAUUGUCCCUCCGCAGACGGAAGCAUGAAUUUGUAGAGGUGCCAAAGCUCAUUGUUUUAAAACAGAGAUGAGUAUGCAAUUUUGGGUGGUGUGCCUUUCAUGUCAACGUCACAGUAGAGUUUCCAAUAUCUUCCAUGCUAAUCAAAUUGUUGAUGAUUCCCAAAUAGAAUUGAAUUUUUAACCCCACUGAACCAUUCAAUCAUAUUCCAUGGCUAGCCAUAUCUACGGGUGCCCUCCAAACAAUAAACUUUCUAGGGGAGUUCUUGUUUAUUUAAUUUUUUUAUUAUGCAGGACUAGGCAUCUUUUACCAGCCUCUCUCGUGCAAUGACAAGUGAAUAAAUACUCAUCAUGAGAAUAACUCGCUUAGCAUGAAAGAUAAUGACCACCCAGUCGCUCCAUGAGCGGUACGAGCACACAAAACUAAUGUUUAUUUGAAGGUUUUAGAGGUGGCACAUGAAAAUUUACUUGGAAUGGCAGUCAAAUACCAUAUAUAGGUAUGUAUGGUAGACUAUUAUGGAAGAAACUUGGCUCAAGGGUUUGGAUGCACAAGUAGUAUCUCUACUUAGUAUGAAUUUUUAAGCUAGAAAAAGAUCUAUUGAAAGCACCACAUGUUAGAGGAUCCAUGACAAUAUAAAUUCUAUGUGAAUAUAAACGAACAUAACCAUUACGUUGUUUUCCUUGUCCAAUGUCAACAACUUUAUCAAGUUUGCAAAUAAUUAAUGGGGGCUCACAAUCAUAGAAGAUGUCUAAAUAGUAUAUUUAUAUGUGACAUAUAUAAUUGAAGCACACAAAGCAUUCUAUGAAGUCAUACUUAAAAGAUUUAAGUGAAGCGCAUAAAGCAUUCUAUAAAUCAAACAAAUACUAUCUCAUAAUAGCAUUGUGCAUAAAAUAAAAGGGAAUAGUAAACACAAAAUUUGCUCCAAUAAAAUCACAUGUGAACGAAUGAAAACUUAGGAUCAACAUUAGCUAACCGAUAAUUAUUGACGGAGAGAGGUGGGAUGCAUAUCAUCCCCAAGGUUAGAUGCUUGAAACUUCUUGUAAUAUUUACUUAGGUGCCUUGAGCAUCCUCAAGCAUGAUUUUUUGUAUCUCGUUCAAUCUUCUUAUAUCCUAGUUUUACCUAAGUCUCAAAAGCUUCAUCCACACAAUACUUAUAAGAACUCAUGAGAUAUGUUAGUACACAUUAGAAUACAUCUACACUUCAUGUACUGCCAAGACAAGUUUCAUAAUAGUUUUCAAACAUUAGUCCUAUAAUUUCCAUAAUUUAUAUCUACCAAUAUAUGCCAUGAAAACUCUAGGAUGAGUAGAUAACAAAACUAUGAUAGGAAUCAGUCCAAACAGAACAGUAUGUAGCAAUUCAUUUAAACAUUGUAAUUUUAUAUCUACGAAAAUUAUGAAAAUUUAGGAAAAGUUGAAUAAUUAGUAUGACAGUACUGUGUAAAAAUUUCAAAAACUUACAACGUUCCAGUAAAAUAUCAUAAUUAAAAUACUACAACAAAAAAAUAUGUUUUUAUACAUCACACCUCACACAUGCAAUUGAAGCGUUCUAAAGGCAAUUUUUGUAAUUUUUUUAUUGAAAAACAAGAUUAUAAAUAACAUCAAGCAAAUACUAAAACAAUAAAAUGAUACUCUAAGCAAAACACGUACUUUAUGACGAAUAAAAAUCUAUAGCUUCAAGUAAGAUAUAUAUCAAUAGUGUUGAAGACAAAAGAGGGGAUGCCUUCAGGGGCAUCUCCAAGCUUAGACGCUUGAGUAUUCCUUGUAUAUUACCUUGGGGUGCCUUGGAAAUCCCCAAGCUUAUAGUCUUGGCGAUCCUUAUUAUCCUCAUAAUGGUAUCUCACCCAAAACUUAAAAACUUAAAUCACACAAAACUUAACACAAACCUCAUGAGAUCCGUUAGUAUAAUAGGACAUUCAUAAACUUUAGUUACUCUUAUAAAUUGAUUCAUAUUUAAUUAUUGAAUAAUUUAUUGUACACUAACUUAUCCAUGGCUUAUACCCCACGACACAAUCAAUAGCAUCAUCAAAACAAGCAAACUACGUAAGCAAAAUACAGAAUAUGUCUAAAACAGAACAGUUCGUAACGAUCAGCAUAAAUACCAAACUUCUGUAACUCAUCAAAUUCUGAAAUAAUUAGGAAGACCUGCGGAAUUUGUAUACUAAUGUUGUGUAAAUACUUUAGAUCAAAAAGGCAUUCCAGUAAAAUCACAGAAAUUCUGCACUAGACAUCACUAGACAUCAAAGUUUUUGUUUUUGCCCUAUAUCAAUUCUAUUUAUCAUGCAAAUCAUCCUAAAGGAUUUACUUGGCACAUUGUCGAAAUAAGAGACAUAAAACAUGACUAAUACAGUAGCUUAAGCAUGAGGGCACACAAUAACAGAAAUGCUAAGUGUUGGGUUGUCUCCGAACGAGCGCUUUUCUUUAAAGCCUUUUAAUAGGCAUGAUAAUUUCAAUGAUGCACACAUAAGGAUAGUUGAUUAAACAUGCAAAAUAGCAUCAUGAAAAUUAUGACAAGCAAAUUUUUUUAUUGUACAGUGGUAUACACGAGGGGAUAAUUAUUUUUGUGACAAACUUCCAUGAAAAAUUCUACAUUGUUUCCAUGAGCAUCGACACAAGUAUUCAAGGUCAAAUCUCACUUCCUCAAUACAUAACUUUCCAAUUGCUUCUCAUUUAAAAGGCAAUUAAAAAAUGUGUGUUUAGUUUUUCAAUUUUUUUGUUUCACCCACAACUAAAGAAAGAAAACAAGAAAAUAGAAACAUAACAAAAACAAAAUCUACUUAAUGAUAGAAGCAAACAAACAUACACGAAAAUAUUAACCCCACGCUAUUGCUCCCCGGCAACGGUGCCACAAAAGAGCUUGAUAAUCCCCAAGCACUAUAGAAAUUAGCUUCUUUGCCGUCUGCUAUGGGCAAAGGGGUGUUCCACGGUCGGCAAAGGCCUUUGCCGUCAGCCUCCUGUCGGCAAAAAUUAUAUGACUACUUUCGACGACAAAGGCCCUUCUUUGCCAUGUGUCAUCAGUUAAGGGUGCAUGUGGUUCAUUCCGAGUGGUACGAAAAUGUUAAUUUGCGCUUUCCAUAUAAGCAUCCAUGAGUACUAGCAGAAUGAGUCAUAAUGAAGUUAUAGUGCAAAUGUUGUCUAAACAAACAAGACAAUGAUCUAGCAUAAUCAACGCGUCUAAGAAAAUAAAGUGUUGUUCGUGGUGGGUGGUAGGUACAUUCUCAUCAUUCUGAAGUAGCGCACACUUAAUCUGCAACAAACUGAAGAGAGGAAGAAACGCUAUGACUACUUCCUCUCAACUAAAAUGGUCCGAUUACCAACAUAAACAUCAUAUGUGACUUAAUAAUUUAAAUUGUGACCACUAAGCUCAUAUUUUGAAAAUACUCCGAAUUUAAAAUUUAAGCAUUAACUUCAAAUUAUAAGCAUUAACUUUCUGAACAGAGUAUAGCUUUAGUGGCCUAAGAAUUUAAAUUUUAAGCAUUAACUUCAAAUUAUUAAAAUAAGUGAGGUCAGUAUAGGUUAAUGCUAUAAAAACCUUGAUGUUUGCUAAAUGAACAUGAUUCCAAUGUAGCAAUAAUAUUUGCAUAUGUUUAAAAAAAAGAUGAUCAGAUAAGCAGAAAAUGUAAUUAGACAUUGUGUGAGGACAUAUUUAAAAAAUGAACACUAAAAUAGAAAAUAGUUUCAAGCAAAAUAAGAAGUCUAACAUAAAGUACAAAAUUAAGACACACCUAAGCCGAAGCUCCUUGAUGGCGUCGAGCUCCUUGAUUUUCGAGGGUGUCGUAGCUCACCAUGUGUGUUGUUCCAACCUUUUUUGGAGUAACAUAAGACAAGGAGAAAUAUUGGACUUGCUUGAAGGUUGCAGCAAGCUGGAAUGAAUUCUAACUUCUUCACUUGAUGCAUCAUAUGUAGCUUAGCUUCGGUGUCUGAAAAAAUGACUUAAAAAUACGGAUAAUCUGGCAUUCGAAGAGGAAAGAUAUAUAACCUAGAAUGAAUUCUAACUUCUUCACUUGAUGCAUCAUAUGUAGCUUAGCUUCGGUAUGUGAAAAAAUGACUUAAAAAUACGGAUAAUCUGGCAUUGGAAGAGGAAAGAUAUAUAACCUAAUAUCUUUCGGCAUUUGCAUAUAAAGGUCGAGGUAUCACCUGCAGAAACUGCAACAUAUCAAUCACUAAAAAAACUCAAACAGAAAUCUGUUGUGAGUAACUGGAAAUCAUAAAAAAUAUCAAUAGUCCCAACAUAUAUAACCAGUGAACGGAAAGCAUAGUGUAAAAUCAUAAUAUUAGGUAGGUCCUUUGCUGAGCACAUAGUAAAAAAAAGGAGAUCAAAAAAUUUAAAGGCCUUAGUAGAAUUUAAAGGUUGCACAAUUCUUGUGAAAUUAUGAAAGUAAUUUAUCAAUAAUCCAUAUUUGGUUUCCCGUUGCACCUUGUUAGACCAGGGACCAUAUAUGUCCGAGUCCAACAUUAUUCCAAAUGUUGUUUCCGACUAGCUUUAACUUUCUCUCAUCUACUACAACUUAUCCAUUGUAGGCCAGGAGUAUAAGUAUGAGCACAAAUAUGAAUUAAAAAACAUUUCUUAUGCAUAGAGUAAUGCACCAGAAUCCAGAACAUAAAUAAUAAACAAUUAAUCGUAAAUAGAUAAUUGAGUCAGGAUCACAAUUUAAUUCUUUAUUUUGAAAAUUUUAUCUGCUUGUGUUGAAUUGAUCACAAGGCUGGAACUGCAGGAGAGGGAAUUACAGGGAUAAAACUUGAAGAUGAAUCAGCCUCCUCCACGAUGACUUUCACCAAGUAGGAGGAGAUCCCCGUCUCCGAGGGCCAUACAGGCGAAACACCCUCCACUCCAUGGUUUUCCUUACCUGCAAUUUUUCCGCCACUGAUCAAUGAGCAUUAUCAACACGCAAAAACUCUUUUCAAUUGACGUGAAAUUAAAGCUUCUAGACUCUAGAUCUACCUCACAUGUGAAGAAUUGUGGCUUCUUAAUGGGGGCAUGCGUGUCUCCAAUGUCGUUUGCUUGGCGCCAUCAGAAAAGAAAGGUACCAACAAGUCCUGCAGCUUGCCUUGGAUCAGUGCAGUCAACAUGCGCCACCAACAUCAGAUGUCGUGCUAGUGACCGAGAUGAUCCGAUAGUCCUAACCAAUGACCUCAUACAACAUACGUUAUUGAAUAAAGCUUAAGGUUCUUGUAGCAAUUGCUUGUGUAUAUAAUGUACUCCCUCUCACCUAUUCAAAUGCUGAAACGAUAUACGACACUGUAGAAUAAAACAAUGUCUCCACAAUUGCACUAACCUUGGUAUCUCUACAAGUGGUUGGCAUUGGCAGUAUGUUGAUUUAGAUCCUUGCGUCAUUGAAGUAUGAAAUUGAAAAGAUUUAUUUAUGUACUACAGAGAGAGAGAGAGAGAACCAUGGCUCUUUUAGCUUCUUGUGGCUACAGGUCAAGAGGCAUAGGCAGCGCAUCGACUUCGAAUGCCCUGCCAAGAACGACUGCUCCAUGUGAUGGAUUGCAGCAGAGCAGCUGAUCCUGAAUACCCAGAAGUCGCAACAAAAAAUUGUUUGAAAACUACAUCAUAUUAUUAGUGUCGACACUCUAAUCAGACAACAUUCAGCGACAUGUGUGGCUUAACCUAGGAACUCGCACUCUCUGACUCGGCUGGGAAACGCCGGAAUCAGUCAGCAACUAAGCCCGUCUUGUACGCACCAAUCCAUCCAUCUAGAACCACCAACGGGGUCAGCAAGAGCGCCAGUCCCUACCCGGAGACGAACGGAGCGCCAGAUCCAUAGUUCAGCGCCCGCAACAAACGAAUCUAAUGGGGCCGGCCACCCGCGCGCAGACGCGGCCGUGGGGCGAAGGGAGCGAUCGGCGAUGGGGCUUCGCGGGAGAGGAGGAGGGGGAGGGCAUGACCGGUGGUUGAUUGGGUGGUCAGUUACCUUGUCGUCGAAGAGGAAGACCUCGGCAAGGCCGGCGGCGCCGACACUGCCCUAGAUGACGACCGUGGAGGAGAGUAGAUGUAGCUGCGCGGGGAGGAGAUGCGGAGAGGUGUGGAUUGGGGAGAAAGAGAGAGUGGGAUCGGGGGAGAGGUCAGAUUGGGGGGUGGGGAGAUGGGAUGCCCGCUGUUAGUGGCCGUCCUCUUUGUCGUUCGCCUGCGUAUAAGCUGAAAGCAAAGAGGUCGAGGCAGACGGUAAAGGGGGUUCAUGCAGACGGCAAAAAGGCCCUUUGAUGGUAAAGAGGAA
RNAcentral lists this long non-coding RNA (9973 nucleotides) under Hordeum vulgare. RNAcentral describes it as "long non-coding RNA (HVUL_LNC008877)". The record is from RNAcentral. Lineage: Eukaryota; Viridiplantae; Streptophyta; Magnoliopsida; Poales; Poaceae.